Molecule: ribosomal RNA, 50 nt
Filed under: Codonanthe cordifolia
Lineage: Eukaryota; Viridiplantae; Streptophyta; Magnoliopsida; Lamiales; Gesneriaceae
Description: partial 28S ribosomal RNA
Source: RNAcentral
CUGCGACCCCAGGUCAGGCGGGAUCACCCGCUGAGUUUAAGCAUAUCAAU